GACGGAGCAACGCCGCGUGAGUGACGAAGGCCUUCGGGUCGUAAAGCUCUGUUGUUAGGGAAGAACAAGUACCGUUCGAAUAGGGCGGUACCUUGACGGUACCUAACCAGAAAGCCACGGCUAACUACGUGCCAGCAGCCGCGGUAAUACGUAGGUGGCAAGCGUUGUCCGGAAUUAUUGGGCGUAAAGCGCGCGCAGGCGGUCUCUUAAGUCUGAUGUGAAAGCCCACGGCUCAACCGUGGAGGGCCAUUGGAAACUGGGGGACUUGAGUGCAGAAGAGGAGAGUGGAAUUCCACGUGUAGCGGUGAAAUGCGUAGAUAUGUGGAGGAACACCAGUGGCGAAGGCGGCUCUCUGGUCUGUAACUGACGCUGAGGCGCGAAAGCGUGGGGAGCAAACAGGAUUAGAUACCCUGGUAGUCCACGCCGUAAACGAUGAGUGCUAGGUGUUGGGGGGUUCCACCCUCAGUGCUGAAGUUAACACAUUAAGCACUCCGCCUGGGGAGUACGACCGCAAGGUUGAAACUCAAAGGAAUUGACGGGGGCCCGCACAAGCAGUGGAGCAUGUGGUUUAAUUCGAAGCAACGCGAAGAACCUUACCAGGUCUUGACAUCCUCUGCCACUCCUAGAGAUAGGACGUUCCCCUUCGGGGGACAGAGUGACAGGUGGUGCAUGGUUGUCGUCAGCUCGUGUCGUGAGAUGUUGGGUUAAGUCCCGCAACGAGCGCAACCCUUGAUCUUAGUUGCCAGCAUUCAGUUGGGCACUCUAAGGUGACUGCCGGUGACAAACCGGAGGAAGGUGGG
Molecule: ribosomal RNA, 800 nt
Filed under: Bacillus sp. CO73
Lineage: Bacteria; Bacillati; Bacillota; Bacilli; Caryophanales; Bacillaceae
Description: bacterial SSU rRNA
Rfam family: Bacterial small subunit ribosomal RNA
Source: RNAcentral